CAGUCGCCGCGGGAAUACGAAGGGUGCAAGCGUUAAUCGGAAUUACUGGGCGUAAAGCGUGCGUAGGCGGUGAGUUAAGUCUGCUGUGAAAUCCCCGGGCUCAACCUGGGAAUGGCAGUGGAUACUGGCUCGCUAGAGUGUGUCAGAGGAUGGUGGAAUUCCCGGUGUAGCGGUGAAAUGCGUAGAGAUCGGGAGGAACAUCAGUGGCGAAGGCGGCCAUCUGGGACAACACUGACGCUGAGGCACGAAAGCGUGGGGAGCAAACAGGAUUAGAUACCCCCGUAGUCCCUGUCUCUUAUCC
Molecule: ribosomal RNA, 301 nt
Filed under: uncultured bacterium
Lineage: Bacteria
Description: partial 16S ribosomal RNA
Rfam family: Bacterial small subunit ribosomal RNA
Source: RNAcentral